CAAUUUUUUGCUAAUCUUUGCUUCUUUGUAUUUGCUAGCAGCAAAUAUAUAUUUUUAAAAGGGUUCUAAUUUGACAAGAGGUGAGAAUUCACAAUUUCUUAAAAAUAUAAUGGAUUUUAAUGCCUGUCCAUGGAAAAUAUGACAGGAAAACAAUUCAAUUGCACCUCCAUCCCAGAUGAAAGCUGGGGGAGAUGAAAAAAUGUCAUGCACAUUAUUAAACAGAUUUCAUCACUGCAGAUUUAAUGAAAGAUGCACUACACUGAACCCUGGCAUUUCAUUACUUAAGAAAAAAAUAAAAAAAUAAAAAAAUCUUCCAUUAGGGAAAUCAACAGGAGUGAGACAACCAAUAAUGCUGCAGCUUUAAAAAGUCUGGAGGAGUAAAAUCAUUUUUUUUCACUUAGUUAUAUGUGCACAAUAAUGGCUUUUACCAAUGUUUUAUUAAUCUAUGUUUGAAAAGAAUUCAUUUACCAAAGUGAUAAGGACAUUGAUUGUUUUCUGUCAAGAGUAAAACCGUACAAAAAUGAGAGAGAAAUGCAUAGAUGAAAAAUGGAAAAGACACCUUGGCUAGUACUCAUAGAAUGUAUUGCUAAACAAAAUAUCAUUUUGUUGGCCAUGAAUCAACUUUCUUGAACAGAAAACUCAGUUAAGGAUAUCUAUGAAAGAAGAACUGGAUUUGCUUUUGUUAUGCAUCUCUUUGUUCUUUUUUCCUGAGAUUGUAGUAGAUGUGAACUCUUGCCUGCCCUGCAGUCUUGGCUCUCCAAAUGAAGGGACUGAAGAAUCAUUUGAAAAAAUAUAUACUACUAAUUUGGACUUUGCAGCUGUGAUCAAGAAAUAAACCUGAAUCAAGAAUUAGAUGAAUCUCUGGAAAGUCUAAUGAGAUCUUAGUACAUAUGAGGAAAAUUUUCUGUAUAAAGUGUAGCAUUGAUGCCAUAUGACAAUGAUAAAGUUGAUAUGUCUGAAUAAGUAAAUGCAACUAAGUAAAAUCUAAUUACAAGGUAUUCUGUGUGUUUUCAAUGUGUGUUUUCCGGUACUUUACUGGAAUGCAAAGCUCUAAACCAUAAAAAGUGAAGGAAUCAGAGUCUCAGUAUUAGUAGUAAAAAAUAGAAAAUUGUAACUAUGUAUAUUUCAUUUAAAAGACAACCUACACUUCCUGAAAAGUUCAUUUGGGAUCACAGCAUUAUCUGGGCAAAUUAAAUCAGUCUUGGCAGUUAAUAUAGCAAGAGUAACCAACAUUAUCAGUUCAAUUUUAAUUGAAUUUUUCUGGAAUUUCUAUGUGGAAAUAAAAUCUUUACGGGGGGGGAAACA
This 1305-nucleotide long non-coding RNA is filed under the name Anser brachyrhynchus (Pink-footed goose). RNAcentral describes it as "lncRNA (ENSABRG00000016530.1)". Lineage: Eukaryota; Metazoa; Chordata; Aves; Anseriformes; Anatidae. The record is from RNAcentral.